This 487-nucleotide ribosomal RNA is filed under the name Pylaemenes sp. SB0044. RNAcentral's name for it is "partial 16S ribosomal RNA". It matches the Rfam family "Bacterial large subunit ribosomal RNA", at positions 1923 to 2624 of the family's 2925-position model. The record is from RNAcentral. Lineage: Eukaryota; Metazoa; Arthropoda; Insecta; Phasmatodea; Heteropterygidae.
UUUAAUGGCCGCGGUAUUUUGACCGUGCAAAGGUAGCAUAAUAAUUAGUCUAUUAAUUGUGGACUGGUAUGAAUGGUUGGACGAAAUAUUUACUGUCUCUUUAGAAUUAUUUUAUAAAUUAAAUUUUUAGUUAAAAUGCUUAGAUGUAUUUAUUAGACGAUAAGACCCUAUAGAUCUUUAUACAUAUAUUUAUUAUUAUUUUUAGUUUAUUUAUUUUUAAUUUUUUAUUGUGUUUUGUUGGGGUGAUAAUGAGAUAUAUGUAACUCUUAUUUUUUUUCACAUUGAUUUUUGGUUAAUUGACCUUUUAUUAUUGUUACAAGAUAUAGAUACCUUAGGGAUAACAGCGUAAUUUAUCUUGAGAGUUCAUAUUGACAGAUAAGAUUGCGACCUCGAUGUUGGAUUAAGAUUAUAUUUAGGUGUAGAUGCUUAAUUGUUAGGUCUGUUCGACCUUUAAAUUCUUACAUGAUCUGAGUUCAAACCGGAGAAA